AAGAUAUUGAAUAUAGUUCCCUGUGCUGUACAGUAUGAACUUGUUGUUUAUCUGUUUCAUGUAUAUUAGUAUCUGUAAAUUUCAAACUCCUAAUUUGUCUCUUCCAUCUUCUUCCCCUCCAGUACCUAUACGUUUGUUUUCUACCUGGGAAUCUGUUUCUGCUUUGUAAAUAAGUUUGUUUGUCUUUUUUUUUUUUUUUAGAUUCCAUGUAUAGGUGAUAUCAUAUGGUAUUUUUCUUUCCCUUUUUGGCUUGAUUCAAUGAAUUUUCUCUUUAUAAUUUUUUCUCCUAUGCACCCCCUAAUAAUAAUAUAGGUAAAUAACGGACAUUUAUGUUUACAGAGUGCUUCCUGUCUUAUAAACAUUUUUCUAAGCAUUUAACCCACCUCUCUUUCAUUUCACAUUCACAAUUACUCUAAGAGGUAAUCUGUUGUGAAUCCCUUUAUACAAUUGAGGGUUCUGAGGCCCAGAGAGGUGCAGUGACUUGCCUGAGCUCACACAGUAGAAAGGGGCAGAGUCAGCAGUCAGAACCUGGGUAGUCGGCCCCCAGAACCCACUCUCGGUUCCUGUCCAUUCUGCUUCCUCAGGUUGAUGAGCUUCUGCCUGCCAAACCACAUUUGUUAAGUUAUAAUUACUUAUUUGUGCUUUUUUAUAAAAAUUGACAAAAAGCCUAGUUUCUUGCCGAUCAGAGCUAUUAUUUGCUGUGACAUGCUAGAAUUCCCAUUUGCUGAUUCCGGUCAAUAGCAGUGAUAUUUUGGGGUUUCGUUUUAUUUUUUGUUUUUGUUUCUGGCGUGAUCCUUCCCUAGAUAAGUAUGCAUUUCCAAUAGAUUUUAAACCAUUUCUGGAAAGGAGUCAAGACCUUCAUCGAUGGCUUUCACCAAUUAAAAAGCCUAUUUAUUGAGUCUCUACAGUAAUUUUAGGCAUCAGGGAAAAGAACAGUGACAAAAACAGAAAGGUCCCUGCUCUCAAGGAACGUACAAUUUACGAGGGGCAGGCAGAGGUUACACAAGGAGCAAAUCAACAGUGGGGGGGUGCUGUCAGCGGGGUAGAGCUGGCCAUGUGACUGGCACUGGCCGGGGGGGUCUGGCCUGUUGUCAGGGAGGGCUCUGAGGAGGUGACAUCUGAAGCCCUGCAGAGAUCUGGGCAAAGUGAUCCAGGCUUUGGAACAGCAAGUGCAAAGGUCCUGAGGUUGCCAGAGCUGGUGAAUGGGGGGAGAAGGAGGCAUGUGGAAGCGGGGAGCAGGUUUUCCAGAAAGCCAGGGUGAGGUGUGUGGACCUUGUCCUGGACGUGUUGGGGUGCUGUUCGUUGCAGCGCUGAGAGCCGGACAACAGCAUAACCUGACUUCUAUUUAAGUGGAUCAUUCUGGCAGCUGUGCAGCCUCCACUGGAUGUUUCUGGGUGACCAGGAGGCCUGCGGACGGCGGAGGAAGGGUUUUAAGCAGAGGCUGCCCCUGCCCUGGCAGAGGACUGUGGGAAUUCUGGCCGAGGAAAGAUGAAGGUUUGAACCCC
Non-coding RNA from Vicugna pacos (alpaca), 1505 nucleotides. The record is from RefSeq and is a predicted model, not a curated record. NCBI's taxonomy places the organism in Eukaryota, Metazoa, Chordata, Mammalia, Artiodactyla, Camelidae.